This 451-nucleotide ribosomal RNA is filed under the name uncultured bacterium. RNAcentral describes it as "bacterial SSU rRNA". It matches the Rfam family "Bacterial small subunit ribosomal RNA", at positions 1052 to 1504 of the family's 1533-position model. The record is from RNAcentral.
UCGUCAGCUCGUGUCGUGAGAUGUUGGGUUAAGUCCCGCAACGAGCGCAACCCUUGCCUUUAGUUGCCAGCAUUAAGUUGGGCACUCUAGAGGGACUGCCAGGGAUAACCUGGAGGAAGGUGGGGAUGACGUCAAAUCAUCAUGCCCCUUAUGUUUAGGGCUACACACGUGCUACAAUGGGUGGUACAGAGGGCAGCCAAGCCGUGAGGCGGAGCUAAUCCCUUAAAGCCAUUCUCAGUUCGGAUUGUAGGCUGAAACUCGCCUACAUGAAGCUGGAGUUACUAGUAAUCGCAGAUCAGAAUGCUGCGGUGAAUGCGUUCCCGGGUCUUGUACACACCGCCCGUCACACCACGGAAGUUGGGGGCGCCCGAAGCCGGAUUGCUAACCUUUUGGAAGCGUCCGUCGAAGGUGAAAUCAAUAACUGGGGUGAAGUCGUAACAAGGUAACCGUA